UGGGGAAUUUUGGACAAUGGGCGAAAGCCUGAUCCAGCAAUGCCGCGUGUGUGAAGAAGGCCUUCGGGUUGUAAAGCACUUUUGUCCGGAAAGAAAUCCUUGGCUCUAAUACAGUCGGGGGAUGACGGUACCGGAAGAAUAAGCACCGGCUAACUACGUGCCAGCAGCCGCGGUAAUACGUAGGGUGCAAGCGUUAAUCGGAAUUACUGGGCGUAAAGCGUGCGCAGGCGGUUUGCUAAGACCGAUGUGAAAUCCCCGGGCUCAACCUGGGAACUGCAUUGGUGACUGGCAGGCUAGAGUAUGGCAGAGGGGGGUAGAAUUCCACGUGUAGCAGUGAAAUGCGUAGAGAUGUGGAGGAAUACCGAUGGCGAAGGCAGCCCCCUGGGCCAAAUACUGACGCUCAUGCACGAAAGCGCGGGGAGCAAACAGGAUUAGAUACCCUGGUAGUCCACGCCCUAAAACGAUGUCAACUAGUUGUUGGGGAUUCAUUUCCUUAGUAACGUAGCUAACGCGUGAAGUUGACCGCCUGGGGAGUACGGUCGCAAGAUUAAAACUCAAAUGAAUUGACGGGGUCAUAGCUGUUUCCU
This 587-nucleotide ribosomal RNA is filed under the name uncultured bacterium. Its description in RNAcentral is "partial 16S ribosomal RNA". It matches the Rfam family "Bacterial small subunit ribosomal RNA", at positions 355 to 1375 of the family's 1533-position model. The record is from RNAcentral.